This 59-nucleotide microRNA precursor is filed under the name Microcaecilia unicolor. RNAcentral describes it as "Mun-Mir-2970_pre stem-loop". The record is from RNAcentral. Lineage: Eukaryota; Metazoa; Chordata; Amphibia; Gymnophiona; Siphonopidae.
GACAGUCAGUAGUUGGUCUGGCGUGAGCAUUCAGUCUCAGAUCACCUCUUGCCUGUGUG